GAUGAACGCUAGCUACAGGCUUAACACAUGCAAGUCGCGGGGCAGCAUGGGGGUUGCUUGCAAUUCCUGAUGGCGACCGGCGCACGGGUGAGUAACGCGUAUCCAACCUGCCCUUCACCACGGGAUAACCCGGCGAAAGUCGGACUAAUACCGUAUGUUGUCCAUUGACGGCAUCCGAUUUGGACGAAAGGCUUAGCGGUGAGGGAUGGGGAUGCGUCCGAUUAGCCAGACGGCGGGGUAACGGCCCACCGUGGCUACGAUCGGUAGGGGUUCUGAGAGGAAGGUCCCCCACACUGGAACUGAGACACGGUCCAGACUCCUACGGGAGGCAGCAGUGAGGAAUAUUGGUCAAUGGGCGGAAGCCUGAACCAGCCAAGUAGCGUGCAGGAUGACGGCCCUAUGGGUUGUAAACUGCUUUUAUGCGGGGAUAAAUGAGCCCACGUGUGGGUUUUUGCAGGACCGCAUGAAUAAGACCG
RNAcentral lists this ribosomal RNA (476 nucleotides) under Prevotella sp. oral taxon 317. RNAcentral's name for it is "bacterial SSU rRNA". It matches the Rfam family "Bacterial small subunit ribosomal RNA", at positions 28 to 494 of the family's 1533-position model. The record is from RNAcentral. Lineage: Bacteria; Pseudomonadati; Bacteroidota; Bacteroidia; Bacteroidales; Prevotellaceae.